AUGGCGAAUUGCCUCCAAUGGCGUGGUUGUCCUAAUGCGGGUUUUGCCACUUGUGCAAGAGAGAGCAUGAAUGUUAUCUACACUUGCUCUUCAAGCGUACAUACACCACGCACAUUUGGGAGCAAGUCAAGCUUUGACUCGGGAUGGUGGAUUUGCACACGGAAGAUUGGGACAACUUCCUUCGUCCCACGAAUUGGUGGUGCUCAAUGGCCAACAUUAGGGGCCAAAAUGGCACCGACAACACAAUCCUCCUCAUGCUUGCUUCAUGGGAGAUUUGGAACGAGCAAAUUGGGAGAGUUUUUAGAAACAUUUGUGAAACAGUCGGUAUGGUUGACUAAAAGGGGGUGA
RNAcentral lists this ribosomal RNA (348 nucleotides) under Triticum aestivum (bread wheat). RNAcentral describes it as "partial small subunit ribosomal RNA". The record is from RNAcentral. Lineage: Eukaryota; Viridiplantae; Streptophyta; Magnoliopsida; Poales; Poaceae.